GACGAACGCUGGCGGCUUGCUUAACACAUGCAAGUCGAACGGAAAGGCCCUGCUUUUGUGGGGUGCUCGAGUGGCGAACGGGUGAGUAACACGUGAGUAACCUGCCCUUGACUUUGGGAUAACUUCAGGAAACUGGGGCUAAUACCGGAUAGGAGCUCCUGCUGCAUGGUGGGGGUUGGAAAGUUUCGGCGGUUGGGGAUGGACUCGCGGCUUAUCAGCUUGUUGGUGGGGUAGUGGCUUACCAAGGCUUUGACGGGUAGCCGGCCUGAGAGGGUGACCGGCCACAUUGGGACUGAGAUACGGCCCAGACUCCUACGGGAGGCAGCAGUGGGGAAUAUUGCACAAUGGGCGGAAGCCUGAUGCAGCAACGCCGCGUGCGGGAUGACGGCCUUCGGGUUGUAAACCGCUUUCGCCUGUGACGAAGCGUGAGUGACGGUAAUGGGUAAAGAAGCACCGGCUAACUACGUGCCAGCAGCCGCGGUGAUACGUAGGGUGCGAGCGUUGUCCGGAUUUAUUGGGCGUAAAGGGCUCGUAGGUGGUUGAUCGCGUCGGAAGUGUAAUCUUGGGGCUUAACCCUGAGCGUGCUUUCGAUACGGGUUGACUUGAGGAAGGUAGGGGAGAAUGGAAUUCCUGGUGGAGCGGUGGAAUGCGCAGAUAUCAGGAGGAACACCAGUGGCGAAGGCGGUUCUCUGGGCCUUUCCUGACGCUGAGGAGCGAAAGCGUGGGGAGCGAACAGGCUUAGAUACCCUGGUAGUCCACGCUGUAAACGGUGGGUACUAGGUGUGGGGUCCAUUCCACGGGUUCCGUGCCGUAGCUAACGCUUUAAGUACCCCGCCUGGGGAGUACGGCCGCAAGGCUAAAACUCAAAGGAAUUGACGGGGCCCCGCACAAGCGGCGGAGCAUGCGGAUUAAUUCGAUGCAACGCGUAGAACCUUACCUGGGUUUGACAUGGAUCGGGAGUGCUCAGAGAUGGGUGUGCCUCUUUUGGGGUCGGUUCACAGGUGGUGCAUGGCUGUCGUCAGCUCGUGUCGUGAGAUGUUGGGUUAAGUCCCGCAACGAGCGCAACCCUUGUUCACUGUUGCCAGCACGUUAUGGUGGGGACUCAGUGGAGACCGCCGGGGUCAACUCGGAGGAAGGUGGGGAUGACGUCAAGUCAUCAUGCCCCUUAUGUCCAGGGCUUCACGCAUGCUACAAUGGCUGGUACAGAGAGUGGCGAGCCUGUGAGGGUGAGCGAAUCUCGGAAAGCCGGUCUCAGUUCGGAUUGGGGUCUGCAACUCGACCUCAUGAAGUCGGAGUCGCUAGUAAUCGCAGAUCAGCAACGCUGCGGUGAAUACGUUCCCGGG
This 1343-nucleotide ribosomal RNA is filed under the name uncultured bacterium. RNAcentral's name for it is "16S ribosomal RNA". It matches the Rfam family "Bacterial small subunit ribosomal RNA", at positions 28 to 1378 of the family's 1533-position model. The record is from RNAcentral.